UAUGUGUGUAUAUGUAUGUAUAAAUAUUACAUAGACAAACAAAAAUAUUGUUAUUUCUGAAGUACAAUGAUGAUGUUCAUGUUAAAAGUUUGAGUGUAAAUUAAUCUCCAGCCCUGUAACCAACUCCAACUCCAAACUCCUCUUCUCAACAAAGGGCUAUGCUGGGGAAGGCUAAACAGCUGUGUGAUUGAGAACAUCUCCCAUUCCCUCCUGCCCUCAGCCAUGUACUUUUAAUCAAUUUUGAAAUAAGACUGUAGUAUGAGUUAGUGUAUUGCCUUGUCUUCUUGACAUAUUCUUUCUUGUUCAACUGGCAUCCCUUUGUGGUCUGAAACAGCAGACUCUCUUCUAUAACUGCAUUCCUUACUGUUAUUUUUAAUUAUGUUUCCAUUUGGUCCACAAAUAUUUAUCAAGGACCUACUUUGUGCAUACCAAGAUGAGAAAGACAUCUCCGUCAUCUUUGGCUUCCUGAGAGGUCGGCUUCCUGAGAGGUAGGCAUGCACAUCUCAGCCAUUGGAAGAGGAUGAAGAGGAGAUCAGGGCACCAUCUCCCUCUCAGGCAAUUGUGAGAAAAGUAAUUUUAUUUUCAUUCUUAAAAGGACUUCAUGCAUGAGAUUGCCACUUCACAGAGAAUUUAUCAAACAUGGACAAACUUAUUUUUAAUCAUCAUGUUGAAAGAGAAAUGGAAACGCUGGGAGGUUUGUCCAAGGUCACAGAUCAAGUGAUCUAUACAUAGCCAACCAACCACAGGGCACCCAAAAUGUUCUUACUCAAAAGACUUAAUAGCUUCUACCAAAAAUAACUGCUUCAGUCAAAGAGAGAAGGAUAAUUGCUACUUCCACAGACAACAUAAGAAACCAGACUCAUUUCAGCCCAGAAAGCAACAUUAAAUGACCACCCACACACCCCAUCACAUAUUUAUCUCCUCCAGCUGCAAGACCCUCUUCUCUUCGGCUUCUCACUGACCUAGAAAGAACUAAUGAAUAAGGUCUAAAACAGAUGCAAAGGCAGUCCACAUAAGAAGUAUACUGCUGCGGGUAGAAAUUACUUCAUCAGAUUUUUUUUGCUACUACCUCAAAGACCUAAAGCAGCACCUCAAAGAAACGAGAAAUUUCAUGAGUAAGGGAAGGAAAGGAACCGGGAGAUCAGAAAACACCAGGAUGAAAGUUGAACUGAUGAAUGCUCCAAGAUGUACAGCAUUUGUACUGAUUCUACAUUGAUCUUUUUCUGCAUUGGGUCUGACUUAAGGGAAUCUGACAGCACUGGGCCAAAAAAUGAGUAACAUUUAUUAGUCCCUUGGUUACUGAACAAGCAGAGACAAAGUCAGGGUUUUGGUAAAGGAAUGUGGACCCAUGCCACAAAGCAAAGAAAAUUCAGCUCACUGAGUCUGACUACCUCGAGGCUUCUAUCACUGUGGGCAAGUGUUGAAAGACUUGUCAUAUUGGGAAAUAAAGUCCUUGUCCAAAUGACCCGAUGAAUCACUUCCUUCCUUUUUGGCCAGUGUGGUCUGUUCAUGGGUCACUGAAGACAGAAGUCAAGGAAUCACUGUGUUUUAGGACAGAUGUGCUGAUCUAAAUUUUAGAUCCUAAAAUAUGCUAUGUUGGCUCAGCGGCAUUGCCUGGUAACAAAGACAAUUACAAUGAGGAUUUAUUUAUUC
Callithrix jacchus (white-tufted-ear marmoset) is the source of this 1653-nucleotide long non-coding RNA. RefSeq lists it as uncharacterized. Lineage: Eukaryota; Metazoa; Chordata; Mammalia; Primates; Cebidae. The record is from RefSeq and is a predicted model, not a curated record.